GACGAACGCUGGCGGCGUGCUUAACACAUGCGAGUCGAACGGAAAGGCCCUGCUUUUGUGGGGUGCUCGAGUGGCGAACGGGUGAGUAACACGUGAGUAACCUGCCCUUGACUUUGGGAUAACUUCAGGAAACUGGGGCUAAUACCGGAUAGGAGCUCCUGCUGCAUGGUGGGGGUUGGAAAGUUUCGGCGGUUGGGGAUGGACUCGCGGCUUAUCAGCUUGUUGGUGGGGUAGUGGCUUACCAAGGCUUUGACGGGUAGCCGGCCUGAGAGGGUGACCGGCCACAUUGGGACUGAGAUACGGCCCAGACUCCUACGGGAGGCAGCAGUGGGGAAUAUUGCACAAUGGGCGGAAGCCUGAUGCAGCAACGCCGCGUGCGGGAUGACGGCCUUCGGGUUGUAAACCGCUUUCGCCUGUGACGAAGCGUGAGUGACGGUAAUGGGUAAAGAAGCACCGGCUAACUACGCG
Molecule: ribosomal RNA, 468 nt
Filed under: uncultured bacterium
Lineage: Bacteria
Description: partial 16S ribosomal RNA
Rfam family: Bacterial small subunit ribosomal RNA
Source: RNAcentral